AUUAUUCUAAGAGCCUGCUUUUAAAAAUUGGGUGUCAGAGCAAGCCCCGAGGGCAGCAGCUGUGGGCAGGCUGGAGGAAAUGGUCCCUGUUUAGGUGCUGCACUGGUCUCUGCAUGAUCAAUCCCAGCGCCCAGAACACCGAUAUCAAGGCCUUUGCCUGGCUCUUCUCCAGAUGGUUUUCUAUUGCAGGAGUUUUGCUGGCAGAGAGCUUAUGAAGAAACAGGCUUACAGAAGGCACGGCCAGGCUGCAGGGAUGACUGGGACCUGAAAACAGCCAGCAUCAUCAUUCUUGAAAGUUUGCUGACUUUCCUGUUUAGAAACGAGGCAUGUAUACGUAUUUAACAGUUCUCAGAAUGUCAAGGAUCCCUCCUCAGAGCAAGAGCUCGAAUUUACAAAAGAAGCACUACCUCCUUUAUCACAUAGUAAAAUAAAGGACCGUGUCUGCUCCAGGACAUGGCUGGUUACAAUUUUGUUUUAAAGAAAUCACCAGAGAAACCUGAGAUUCCAACCCAGCCUUUUGUUUGCCUGGGAUUAUAGCCCAGUUCUUACAAGCAGAGAAGCCUAGGACACUAACCCAGCUUCAAGAGUAUACUCAGAAUCUCAAGAAUCACAAUCUGUGCUGCCCAUUCUUCAACAGACUGUCAUCUGGAGGCCUGGAUUGGAUCAGGAGUCGGGCUCACCAAUGGAGCCCCAAUCAGUCAGUCAGGAGUGAAGAUGAAAGCUUCAAAGGCAUUGAUGACUCACUUCUCACUUGAGUCCAGACCCAUCUGGAUUGCCUGCAAAAAGGUCUCGGCAGUGACCUGAAAACAUAUGUAAAUUACCCAACCAAUUCUAACCAGGACCUGCUGUCUGGCAAUUCAUCCCCAUGUUCUAGACUUGUCCAACAAGCACCCAAGCAACUUUGAGUUCCAUCCUGCAACUCUCAGUCAGGCUCAAGAAAAGCCCCAAUUUUAUCUGGGCAUGGUGACACAUGACUGUAAUCCCAGCUACUCGGGAGGCUGAGGCAGUUGAAUCGCUUGAACCCAGGAAGCGAAGGCUGCAGUGAGCCGAGAUCAUGCCACUGCACUCCAGCCUGGGCAACACAGCGAGACUGUCUCAAAAUAAAAUUAAAAUUAAAUUUUUUAAAAAG
Long non-coding RNA from Homo sapiens (human), 1129 nucleotides. Ensembl annotates it as long intergenic non-protein coding RNA 2052. NCBI's taxonomy places the organism in Eukaryota, Metazoa, Chordata, Mammalia, Primates, Hominidae. The record is from Ensembl.